RNAcentral lists this ribosomal RNA (472 nucleotides) under uncultured bacterium. RNAcentral's name for it is "bacterial SSU rRNA". It matches the Rfam family "Bacterial small subunit ribosomal RNA", at positions 335 to 799 of the family's 1533-position model. The record is from RNAcentral.
ACUCCUACGGGAGGCAGCAGUGGGAAUAUUGCACAAUGGGCGCAAGCCUGAUGCAGCCAUGCCGCGUGUGUGAAGAAGGCCUUCGGGUUGUAAAGCACUUUCAGUCGUGAGGAAGGUAGUGUAGUUAAUAGCUGCAUUAUUUGACGUUAGCGACAGAAGAAGCACCGGCUAACUCCGUGCCAGCAGCCGCGGUAAUACGGAGGGUGCGAGCGUUAAUCGGAAUUACUGGGCGUAAAGCGCAUGCAGGCGGCCUGUUAAGUCAGAUGUGAAAGCCCGGGGCUUAACCUCGGAAUUGCAUUUGAAACUGGCAGGCUAGAGUCUUGUAGAGGGGGGUAGAAUUUCAGGUGUAGCGGUGAAAUGCGUAGAGAUCUGAAGGAAUACCAGUGGCGAAGGCGGCCCCCUGGACAAAGACUGACGCUCAGAUGCGAAAGCGUGGGGAGCAAACAGGAUUAGAUACCCUGGUAGGAUAGCG